UGUUGGGUGGCAACAAUGGUAUGGCUUUGGACAUACGGAACAUGAUAUGCAAAAAAGUAUCAUUUCUGUAUACUUGUCUCCGAAUCCCGAAUUCUCUUGCAUUUUUCUCUAAUGCCUAAGUUUUCAGUACAAUAAAAUAUUCAAUGCUAACAAGCCAAGUACUUAUUAAAAAGCACAAAGACUUGUUAGAAUAUUUAUAGAUAUUUUAUAAGAGUUGCAUGGAAGGAAUGGAUGAACUACAAAAAUAGAAUUUUCAUGCUAAAGUCAAUAAAAAUCUUACUUGGACCAUAUGAAACCAACAUUUCUGCAAGUGAACAUUAUUGAAUACUCGUCCUAGAGCAUUUGUCAAUGCUAGUUCAUAGUCCGUUACAAUAUUUGUUGCUCUGAUGUCACACAUUUCACGUAAAUAUUCAAAAAUUGACUGAUAUGCUGCUUCGGUCUUUCUACGCAUCAUUAUAUAUGCAACCGGAAAUGCCUUUACCUGAUCCAUAUACAUUGCCAUUAUUAUCAACAACUGAUCAUUUGCUGGUUGUGCUGGUCUACUUUUAAAUGUCGCAUCAAUGUGAAGCUCUUGAGCAGAAAUUAACAAACUAAUAUUGUUCCAAACAAAUAAUGUUAAAUAUAGUUGUGCUGGCGAAAUAAAUACAACAGCUUCACCACCAUCUGGACCGCCAUUGAUAUAGCCCCUAUACAUAUUUUGACCAUUAUAUGUUUGGAACAUAGAGCUAUAACGUUCAUCGUUGAAACAGCCAGCAUACUCUAACAUUGUCAAAGGAUAUAACUUGAUCUAUAAAAAGUGCUUGAAUUGAAAAAGAAACAGAAGGGAUAUGCUAAAAUAUUUUUUGAAAACAUAAGAAGUACUCGGCUCUUGCAUUCACUCUCAAUUUUUGUGCUAGCUAUAAAUAUAAUAUAGAUUUCAUGAUGUACCCUGGUCAAUGAUAAAGAUACAUAAAAACAAAACUUAUCUUAAAAUAAUGUUGAAAUAAUUGAAUUUCCUAUGGGCCUUGAAGUAUUAGUGGAGAAUAAACAAGAAAUGUCUGGAUAAUUAAUAAAUUAUUACAAUUAAUUUAUCUAGUUGGAUCCAGAGAUUGUGCUAUUAUGGCAAUAAUAUGUAAAUUUUAAUUCUAUCAUAAAAUAUUUAUAUUAAAUAUAAAGCACUUUUGUGGGUUAAGCUAUUGUGGUUCUAUACGCCUCAUUUAUACUGAAACAAUGUUAGCCAUACAAUUUUUAAAUACAUAAUGUUUUUUACUAAAAAUUAUCAAUAAUUAAUUAAGCCAAUAAUUGUUCGUUAUGUGUUGUAAUUAAUAGUUUUAUACCUGUAGCAGGACAA
This is a long non-coding RNA of Aphis gossypii (cotton aphid), 1330 nucleotides long. RefSeq lists it as uncharacterized. Lineage: Eukaryota; Metazoa; Arthropoda; Insecta; Hemiptera; Aphididae. The record is from RefSeq and is a predicted model, not a curated record. The transcript is spliced from 6 exons.